RNAcentral lists this transfer RNA (60 nucleotides) under Echinostoma caproni. RNAcentral describes it as "tRNA-Ser". Lineage: Eukaryota; Metazoa; Platyhelminthes; Trematoda; Plagiorchiida; Echinostomatidae. The record is from RNAcentral.
GGAAGUUAUAAGAUUGUCGCUGCUAACGAUAAUUGGAAUGCUUGUUGUAUUCAACUUUCU